CAGUCGCCACGGUAAUACGGAGGGCGCGAGCGUUACCCGGAUUUACUGGGCAUAAAGGGCGUGUAGGCGGCCUGGGGCGUCCCAUGUGAAAGGCCACGGCUCAACCGUGGAGGAGCGUGGGAUACGCUCAGGCUAGAGGGUGGGAGAGGGUGGUGGAAUUCCCGGAGUAGCGGUGAAAUGCGCAGAUACCGGGAGGAACGCCGAUGGCGAAGGCAGCCACCUGGUCCACUUCUGACGCUGAGGCGCGAAAGCGUGGGGAGCAAACCGGAUUAGAUACCCCAGUAGUCCCUGUCUCUUAUAC
RNAcentral lists this ribosomal RNA (301 nucleotides) under uncultured bacterium. RNAcentral describes it as "partial 16S ribosomal RNA". It matches the Rfam family "Bacterial small subunit ribosomal RNA", at positions 509 to 807 of the family's 1533-position model. The record is from RNAcentral.